Molecule: ribosomal RNA, 301 nt
Filed under: uncultured bacterium
Lineage: Bacteria
Description: partial 16S ribosomal RNA
Rfam family: Bacterial small subunit ribosomal RNA
Source: RNAcentral
CAGUCGCCACGGGAAUACGUAGGGUGCAAGCGUUAAUCGGAAUUACUGGGCGUAAAGCGUGCGCAGGCGGUUUGUUAAGACAGAUGUGAAAUCCCCGGGCUCAACCUGGGAACUGCAUUUGUGACUGGCAAGCUAGAGUAUGGCAGAGGGGGGUGGAAUUCCGCGUGUAGCAGUGAAAUGCGUAGAUAUGCGGAGGAACACCGAUGGCGAAGGCAGCCCCCUGGGCCAAUACUGACGCUCAUGCACGAAAGCGUGUGGAGCAAACAGGAUUAGAUACCCCGGUAGUCCCUGUCUCUUAUAC